RNAcentral lists this ribosomal RNA (301 nucleotides) under uncultured bacterium. Its description in RNAcentral is "partial 16S ribosomal RNA". It matches the Rfam family "Bacterial small subunit ribosomal RNA", at positions 509 to 807 of the family's 1533-position model. The record is from RNAcentral.
CAGUAGCCACGGUAAUACGGAGGGUGCAAGCGUUAUCCGGAUUUAUUGGGUUUAAAGGGUCCGUAGGCGGAUCUGUAAGUCAGUGGUGAAAUCUCACAGCUUAACUGUGAAACUGCCAUUGAUACUGCAGGUCUUGAGUAAAUUUGAAGUGGCUGGAAUAAGUAGUGUAGCGGUGAAAUGCAUAGAUAUUACUUAGAACACCAAUUGCGAAGGCAGGUCACUAAGAUUUAACUGACGCUGAUGCACGAAAGCGUGGGGAGCGAACAGGAUUAGAGACCCCUGUAGUCCCUGUCUCUUAUAC